RNAcentral lists this transfer RNA (98 nucleotides) under Coleofasciculus sp. FACHB-SPT36. Its description in RNAcentral is "tRNA-Asn". Lineage: Bacteria; Bacillati; Cyanobacteriota; Cyanophyceae; Coleofasciculales; Coleofasciculaceae. RNAcentral also lists the same sequence under 1 other name. The record is from RNAcentral.
UCCGGGAUAGCUCAAUAGCAGAGUUCGCGGCUGUUAACCGCGUUGUUGUAGGUACUCUCCCUUGAAGGCUGCGCCUACAAGUCCUACUCCCGGAGCCA